AAGUCGUAACAAGGUUUCCGUAGGUGAACCUGCGGAAGGAUCAUUAUUGAAUAAAAACUUGAGCAGGCUGUUGCUGGCCCUUUGGGGUAUGUGCACGCUUGUUCUAUGUUAUUUCUCCAACUUGUGCACCUCUUGUAGACCUUUGUGGAUUUCACAAAUUCCGAGUCGGGACUGCCGUGCUUCUUCUCUGAAGUCGGCUUUCCCUUGGGUCUAUGUCAUUUUUCAUUCACAAAUAAUAUCGUUCAGAAUGUGUUGGAUCAGGUCUUUUUUGUACCUAUAUGAAAUGAAAUAUACAACUUUCAGCAACGGAUCUCUUGGCUCUCGCAUCGAUGAAGAACGCAGCGAAAUGCGAUAAGUAAUGUGAAUUGCAGAAUUCAGUGAAUCAUCGAAUCUUUGAACGCAUCUUGCGCUCCUUGGUAUUCCGAGGAGCAUGCCUGUUUGAGUGUCAUUCAACUUCUCAACCACAUUCUUCAUUGAUUGUGGCUUGGAUGGUGGGGGUUUUUUUUGUGCAGGCUUCUUCUGUGAGGUCAGCUCCCCUGAAAUGCAUCAGUGGUAAAUCUGAGGCCAUUGCUAUAGGUGUGAUAAUUAUCUAUGCCCUUGGUAUGCCGCAUGAAACCGCUUCUAAAUCCCAGAUUAUGA
This 639-nucleotide ribosomal RNA is filed under the name uncultured Inocybe. RNAcentral's name for it is "eukaryotic LSU rRNA". The stretch from base 295 to 448 matches the Rfam family "5.8S ribosomal RNA". RNAcentral also lists the same sequence under 1 other name. Lineage: Eukaryota; Fungi; Basidiomycota; Agaricomycetes; Agaricales; Cortinariaceae. The record is from RNAcentral.